RNAcentral lists this ribosomal RNA (424 nucleotides) under uncultured delta proteobacterium. Its description in RNAcentral is "bacterial SSU rRNA". It matches the Rfam family "Bacterial small subunit ribosomal RNA", at positions 958 to 1385 of the family's 1533-position model. The record is from RNAcentral. RNAcentral also lists the same sequence under 1 other name. Lineage: Bacteria; Deltaproteobacteria.
AACGCGAAGAACCUUACCGGGGCUUGACAUCGUACGAAAUCCUACGAAAGUAGGCUUUCUCGCAAGAGAACGUACAGACAGGUGCUGCAUGGCUGUCGUCAGCUCGUGCCGUGAGGUGUUGGGUUAAGUCCCGCAACGAGCGCAACCCUCGCCGUGUGUUGGUCCGCAAGGAUCUCUCACGCGGGACCGCCGAUGAGAAGUCGGAGGAAGGUGGGGAUGACGUCAAGUCAGCAUGGCCCUUACGUCCCGGGCUACACACGUGCUACAAUGGGUAGGACAACGGGCUGCGAGCUAGUGAUAGUAAGCUAAUCCCUUAAACCUACCCUCAGUUCGGAUUGAAGGCUGCAACUCGCCUUCAUGAAGUCGGAAUCGCUAGUAAACGCAGAUCAGCUACGCUGCGUUGAAUACGUUCCCGGGCCUUGUA